This 394-nucleotide ribosomal RNA is filed under the name uncultured eukaryote. Its description in RNAcentral is "partial 18S ribosomal RNA". It matches the Rfam family "Eukaryotic small subunit ribosomal RNA", at positions 592 to 976 of the family's 1831-position model. The record is from RNAcentral.
CAAGAGCAUAUGAAAAAGUUGUUGCGAUUAAAGCACUCGUAGUUGGACUAUUGAUGGAGUCCUUUGACGGUCCAGCUCGAUAAGAGCGGAACUGUCGGGACCCAUCUUGUUUCCAGGAAAGCGCUUCUGUCAUUAAUUUGAUGGGAGAUUGCACCUGGAUAUUUCACUUUGAAUAAAUUGGAGUGUUUAAAGCAGACACUAUUAUAGUCAUUGUACAUUUUAGCAUAGGAUGAUAGAAUACGACCCCCUUCGAUUUCUGUUGACCUUGGCGAAGAGGGGUAAUGGUUAAUGGGGAUGGUGGAAGGCCAUUGUAUGGAACCGUCAGAGGUGAAAUUCUUAGAUCGGUUCUAGACACACUGCUGCGAAGGCGUUGAGCCAACGACGUUUUCGUCAA